ACGAGCUGAGUAAUGUCGGAAGGAGUCGGGUUCCAAAGACUCUCCAUGGACUACAGGAAUGGGCUCCUUCCCUUCCACUUUCUUUGCACUCCCGGAAAAGUUUGAAGAAUAAAAAUACCCAGGAGGACCAGAGAGAAGGCAGACUCAUAAAAUGUUGUUUUCAUCAGCACCUGUGUCGCUGCCAGGUUGAUUUGGACAGCAUCCAGGGUCUCGGAAUCUGUGGAUUCAGGAAUUUUGUUUUGUUUUUGAUUUUUUUUUAAAUAAAUUCAAGUCUUUCUGUA
Molecule: long non-coding RNA, 281 nt
Organism: Lemur catta (Ring-tailed lemur)
Lineage: Eukaryota; Metazoa; Chordata; Mammalia; Primates; Lemuridae
Exons: 2
Source: RefSeq, a predicted model, not a curated record